AUGAUCUGUGCAAUCUCCGGCGAGGUGCCGGAUGAGCCGGUGGUAUCAAAGAGGUCGGGGCUCCUCUUUGAGCGGCGGCUCAUCGAGCGCUACAUUGAGGACCAUGGAAAGUGUCCAGUUACGAAGGAGGAACUCUCCAUGGACGACAUCGUGCUGGUGAAGACCAACAAGGUCGUGAGGCCCAGGCCUCUGCAGGCUGCAAGCAUUCCCGGACUCCUUGGAAUCUUUCAAAACGAGUGGGAUGCUCUUAUGCUUUCUAAUUUUGCUUUGGAGCAGCAGCUUCACACAGCAAGACAAGAACUUAGUCAUGCGUUAUACCAGCAUGAUGCUGCUUGCCGUGUUAUAGCCAGAUUAAAGAAGGAAAGAGAUGAGUCUAGAGCACUUUUGGCUCUAGCUGAGAGACAGAUUCCUGCGUCGAUGGCGGGAGUUGCACCUGCAGCUGUCGUUUCCAAUGGAAAAAGAGCAAUGGAGGAUGAAAUUGGCCCUGAUGGGAAGAAGAUACGCCCUGGUAUCAAUCCUGUCAUGAUCGAUGAACUAACAGAGUGUAAUACCAUGCUUUCUGCCCAGCGUAAGAAACGACAGGUACCACCAAGUUUGGCAUCAAUUGAUGAACUGGAGAGAUAUACUCAGAUCUCUAGUCAUCCACUCCACAAGACAAAUAAGCCAGGCAUUUUGUCUAUGGAUAUCCAUCCGUCAAAGGACAUAGUUGCAACUGGGGGUAUCGAUACGAAUGCAGUGCUAUUUGAUAGGACAUCUGGUCAAAUCCUGUGCACACUUGCUGGUCACUCCAAGAAGAUAACCACCUUGAAAUUUGUUCCACGGGAUGAGCUCGUGGUAACUGGAUCAGCAGAUAAGACUGUUCGGAUUUGGCAAGGGGGUGAGGAGGGAAACUACAGUUGCAUCCAUACAUUGAAAGAUCAUACCGCCGAGGUCGAAGCUGUUACUGUGCAUGCGACUCAGAAGUACUUUGUGACCGCUGCCAAGGAUAAUACUUGGUGCUUCUAUGAUAUUUCAACUGGGUCUUGCCUCUCACAGGUUGGCGAGGCUUCAGGACAAGAGGGAUAUACAUCUGCGUCUUUCCACCCAGAUGGUCUUAUCCUUGGAACAGGAACUACUGAAGCUGUUGUCAAAAUUUGGGAUGUUAAGACUCAGUCCAAUGUUGCAAAGUUUGAGGGGCAUGCUGGACCUGUCACUGCUAUGUCCUUCUCUGAAAAUGGUUACUUCCUGGCGACUGCUGCUCUUGAUGGUGUCAAGCUUUGGGAUUUAAGGAAAUUGAGAAAUUUUAGGACUUUCUCGCCAUAUGAUUCGGACACGCCGACAAAUUCUGUGGAAUUUGAUUUUAGCGGUACCUACCUUGCUGUUGCUGGUUCAGAUAUAAGGGUUUACCAAGUAGCCAACGUCAAGACGGAAUGGAAUCUUAUCAAGACCUUGCCAGAUUUGUCAGGAACAGGGAAAGUGACUUCUGCGAAGUUUGGCACUGACGCCAAAUAUAUCGCCGUCGGCUCUAUGGACCGUAACCUGAGGAUAUUUGGGCUUCCUGGAGAUGAUCAAAUGGACGAUGAUGCAAAACCAUCGGCCGAGUGA
RNAcentral lists this ribosomal RNA (1584 nucleotides) under Triticum aestivum (bread wheat). RNAcentral describes it as "partial small subunit ribosomal RNA". Lineage: Eukaryota; Viridiplantae; Streptophyta; Magnoliopsida; Poales; Poaceae. The record is from RNAcentral.